This 207-nucleotide ribosomal RNA is filed under the name uncultured bacterium. RNAcentral describes it as "partial 16S ribosomal RNA". It matches the Rfam family "Bacterial small subunit ribosomal RNA", at positions 568 to 774 of the family's 1533-position model. The record is from RNAcentral.
AGCGUAGACGGACUGGCAAGUCUGAUGUGAAAGGCGGGGGCUCAACCCCUGGACUGCAUUGGAAACUGUUAGUCUUGAGUGCCGGAGAGGUAGGCGGAAUUCCUAGUGUAGCGGUGAAAUGCGUAGAUAUUAGGAGGAACACCAGUGGCGAAGGCGGCUUACUGGACGGUAACUGACGUUGAGGCUCGAAAGCGUGGGGAGCAAACA